CAUAUAUCUUACAAUCUCCCACUUGGACGAGAUACACAUACAUAUGUACAAACCUUAGCAUUAUAUGUUACAAUAUAACCUUAUGAGCUCAAAAUUGCUGUCACAAUAAAAUUGUCAUGAACAAUCCGGUCCAUCAAUCAUACUAACAUAGGAACUAAGAGCUCUUCGUUACUCAUUCGUAACUUGAACCAACAUAGAUCACGUAU
Molecule: long non-coding RNA, 206 nt
Filed under: Nicotiana benthamiana
Lineage: Eukaryota; Viridiplantae; Streptophyta; Magnoliopsida; Solanales; Solanaceae
Description: long non-coding RNA (NBEN_LNC023938)
Source: RNAcentral